RNAcentral lists this unclassified non-coding RNA (208 nucleotides) under soil metagenome. RNAcentral describes it as "partial contains 5.8S ribosomal RNA, internal transcribed spacer 2, and large subunit ribosomal RNA". The record is from RNAcentral.
AACCUAGCACACCUGCGGUGUGUACCUGCGGAAGGAUCAUUACUGAAGGGAAGACGAGGCUUUUGUCCUUGUAACCAACCACCCUUGCUUUUUGUUGCUUUGUUUGUUUCCUCGGCAGCAUUGCCUGCCAACGAGGACCCUUACCAAACUAUAGAAAUCUAGUACUAUUCAGUCGUUAACGAACCUUACAACUUUCAACAACGGAUCU